Molecule: ribosomal RNA, 260 nt
Filed under: uncultured bacterium
Lineage: Bacteria
Description: partial 16S ribosomal RNA
Rfam family: Bacterial small subunit ribosomal RNA
Source: RNAcentral
GUUGUUCUACGGGGCGCAGCAGUAGGGAAUCUUCCACAAUGGACGAAAGUCUGAUGGAGCAACGCCGCGUGAGUGAAGAAGGGUUUCGGCUCGUAAAGCUCUGUUGGUAGUGAAGAAAGAUAGAGGUAGUAACUGGCCUUUGUUCGACGGUAAUUACUUAGAAAGUCACGGCUAACUACGUGCCAGCAGCCGCGGUAAUACGGAGGUGGCAAGCGUUGUCCGGAUUUAUUUGGCGGAAAGCGCGUGCAGGCGGGUACAUA